GUCUUUUUGAUAAUAAUUUAAAGUCUAAUCUGCCCAAUGAAUUAUUAAAUGGCCGCAGUAUUUUGACUGUGCAAAGGUAGCAUAAUAAUUAGUUUUUUAAUUGAAAACUGGAAUGAAUGAUUGAACAAGAAAAAAUCUGUCUCAAUUUAAUUUAAUAUAGAAUUUUAUUUUUAAGUAAAAAAGCUUAAAUGUUUUUAAAAGACGAGAAGACCCUAUAGAGUUUAAUAUUAAUGUUUAUAUAAUAUUUAUAGAAAUUAUUUUAUUUUAUAUCAAUUAAUAUUUAAUUGGGGUGAUUGAAAAAUUAAAUAAACUUUUUUUAUUUAUGAAAUCAUUAAUUUAUGAUUAUUUGAUCCAUUAUUUAUGAUUAAAAGAUUAAAUUACCUUAGGGAUAACAGCGUAAUUUUUUUUUAGAGUUCAAAUCGAUAAAAAAGUUUACGACCUCGAUGUUGGAUUAAAA
RNAcentral lists this ribosomal RNA (457 nucleotides) under Aegialia crassa. RNAcentral's name for it is "partial 16S ribosomal RNA". The record is from RNAcentral. Lineage: Eukaryota; Metazoa; Arthropoda; Insecta; Coleoptera; Scarabaeidae.